UAGAACCAAGGGUUCUUCCUAACGAAGAAAGUUUUUCUUGCCUUGGAAAGUUUGGAACUUUCGGCGUGGGAAAAAGUCUUAUGAAAGUAAAGUUUGAGUAUAAUUAUGCUGAGCUGGAAGUUUCCUAUUGCUUUCGACUCGCUUCUCCUUUGCCAGUUCCGUUUUUCUUUUUAAAGUUUCUUCACUCGAAAACUUUUCGAGAAAGUUUUGAUAUUCAGGACUCGUCCAAUGGCGUAUCUCUUGAGGACUUUCUUUUUGGAAAAAAAAAGUCUGCGUUUAACAGCGCUUUAGACGGAAUUGAGUUCCGCUUUUAUAUUAGUAAAAACGCCAUUUCUGCUGUACUUUUUGAGCAUUUUCUUUUCGAUGAUAUCAC
This is a long non-coding RNA of Zophobas morio, 373 nucleotides long. RefSeq lists it as uncharacterized. The record is from RefSeq and is a predicted model, not a curated record. NCBI's taxonomy places the organism in Eukaryota, Metazoa, Arthropoda, Insecta, Coleoptera, Tenebrionidae. The transcript is spliced from 4 exons.